ACUGAUAUUGAUUUUUUUUUUAGGUGGGAACAAUGUUUUGUCGCUGACCCCAUCCAAAGCAGUACAUUGCUUAGCUUCCAUGGUGGUACUCUUGUCCGCUUCUCCAAACUGGGAGCAUGCCACUCACCAUCUACUGCAGGAGAGAGUCGGGAGGAGAACUCUGCAGCCUGAACUCCACCAAACAGCUGCACCAGCAGUCUCUCUGGAGUUGGUGAAGCAGAGGAUGGGGCUGAGCUUCAUGCGCAGGAUGAAGUGGAGGAUGAGAAGGGGCUUUUUGCUUAACGUACAGGGCACAUAGUACUCCUAAAAACACAAAGGUCAAAGGUCAUCUCUUACCGUCAGACCCUGGGGGAAGUUAAAGCGGCCUUGUUCCUGGGUGGGUGCUGCUGCUGUGGUGUUGUUGCUACCGCUGAUGCUGUGGAUGGAGCUGAAGAGUCGGGGCUGGUGGAG
Long non-coding RNA from Epinephelus moara (kelp grouper), 450 nucleotides. RefSeq lists it as uncharacterized. The record is from RefSeq and is a predicted model, not a curated record. NCBI's taxonomy places the organism in Eukaryota, Metazoa, Chordata, Actinopteri, Perciformes, Serranidae. The transcript has 4 exons.